RNAcentral lists this ribosomal RNA (403 nucleotides) under Fusobacteriota bacterium. Its description in RNAcentral is "Fusobacteria bacterium partial 16S ribosomal RNA". It matches the Rfam family "Bacterial small subunit ribosomal RNA", at positions 355 to 776 of the family's 1533-position model. Lineage: Bacteria; Fusobacteriati; Fusobacteriota. The record is from RNAcentral.
UGGGGAAUUUUGCACAAUGGAGGAAACUCUGAUGCAGCGACGCCGCGUGAGUGAUGAAGAUCUUCGGAUUGUAAAACUCUGUCCUUAGUGAAGAUAAUGACAGUAACUAAGAAGCAAGCCCUGGCUAAAUACGUGCCAGCAGCCGCGGUAAUACGUAGGGGGCGAGCGUUGUCCGGAAUUACUGGGCGUAAAGGGUUCGCAGGCGGCAUGGCAAGUCCGAUGUAAAAGGCGAAGGCUCAACCUUCGUAAGCAUCGGAAACUGUCAAGCUUGAGUGAAGGAGAGGCAAGUGGAAUUCCUAGUGUAGCGGUGGAAUGCGUAGAUAUUAGGAGGAAUACCGGUGGCGAAGGCGACUUGCUGGACUUCAACUGACGCUGAGGAACGAAAGCGUGGGUAGCAAACAGG